UACAGAGGGUGCGAGCGUUAAUCGGAAUUACUGGGCGUAAAGCGUGCGUAGACGGUUAUUUAAAUCGGGUGUGAAAGCCCCGGGCUCAACCUGGGAAUUGCAUUCGAGACUGAAUAGCUAGGGUACGGUAGAGGGGGAUGGAAUUCCGCGUGUAGCAGUGAAAUGCGUAGAUAUGCGGAGGAACACCGAUGGCGAAGGCAAUCCCCUGGACCUGUACUGACGCUCAUGCACGAAAGCGUGGGGAGCAAACAGG
Molecule: ribosomal RNA, 253 nt
Filed under: uncultured bacterium
Lineage: Bacteria
Description: partial 16S ribosomal RNA
Rfam family: Bacterial small subunit ribosomal RNA
Source: RNAcentral